This 497-nucleotide ribosomal RNA is filed under the name uncultured bacterium. RNAcentral's name for it is "partial 16S ribosomal RNA". It matches the Rfam family "Bacterial small subunit ribosomal RNA", at positions 28 to 507 of the family's 1533-position model. The record is from RNAcentral.
GAUGAACGCUGGCGGCGUGCCUAAUACAUGCAAGUCGAGCGAACAGAUGAGGAGCUUGCUCCUCUGACGUUAGCGGCGGACGGGUGAGUAACACGUGGAUAACCUACCUAUAAGACUGGGAUAACUUCGGGAAACCGGAGCUAAUACCGGAUAAUAUAUUGAACCGCAUGGUUCAAUAGUGAAAGACGGUUUUGCUGUCACUUCUAGAUGGAUCCGCGCCGCAUUAGCUAGUUGGUAAGGUAAAGGCUUACCAAGGCAACGAUGCGUAGCCGACCUGAGAGGCGGGUCGGCCACACUGGAACGUAGACAGGGACCAUGGUCCUACGGGAGGCAGCAGUAGGGAAGCUGCCGCAAUGGGCGGAAGCCUUACGGAGCAACGCCGCGUGAGUGAUGAAGGUCUUCGGAUCGUAAAACUCUGUUAUUAGGGAAGAACAAAUGUGUAAGUAACUAUGCACGGCUUGACGGUACCUAAUAAGAAAGCCACGGCUAACUACGUG